UUUUGACUCACAGCUCUUGCCAAUUAUUAGUUGAUUAAAGUCGUUUUCUGGUAAGCAGUAAAAGCAUGGCUGCAAUAAUAAAUCCUAAGUAUAUAAUAGGCAAGAAAGAGCUACUAGGCGAGGGAAGCUAUGGGAAGGUGUACACUGUGGAAUUGAAAGUGGCCAUAAAGGAAUUAAAAUCUUCAGAGGCAGAGAAAAUUAAAUCAUUUGAAGCGGAGGCCACGAACUUACUUCGCGCUCAACAUCCGAAUAUUAUAAGAUUAUACGGCAUUUCAGGAAAACACACACUGGUCAUGGAAUAUGCAGAUAAUACUCUCGAUAAGUACAUACAUAACGAGGAAAACAAAAUUACAGAGCUACAUCGUCAAAAUCUAAUGCUUCAGUGCGCCGAGUCUGACACCGUUGACACUUCACCGCGACCUGAAACCCGCAAAUAUUUUACUUACAAAUGAUAACUGUACGCUAAAGAUUUGUGAUUUCGGAACGGCACGAGAAAUACGUACAGAAAUGACAGCCGAAAAAGGAACUGCCGUAUAUAGGGCACCAGAAAUCAACGAAACCAUGAAAUACACUGAAAAAUGCGAUGUCUAUAGCUUUGCCCUUAUACUCUGGGAAGUAAUGUCUGGGAAAAAACCCUUUGCUGACCAAAUCAAAGAAGUUAUAGCGAUUGCAUACCAAACGUCUGUUAAAAAUCUUCGACCAAAUUUGGACGAUGUGCAAUUUUGUGUGAAUAAAGAAAUUAUGAAAGAUCUGAUUGAACAAGGCUGGGAUAAAAAGCCAUAUAUGCGUCCGUCAAUGAAAAUGCCUUAUUACUUAGCCUUGAUCAUUCCUCGAUGAAAUACCUAGUAAAACCUUCUAGCGAGGAUUACAAAGAUGCUACAAAAUCAAAUUAAAUUUACUGGUACUUAUAUACGACCGGGAUUAUGGAUACUCUGAUUGAGCAGUUCAAGACUCAAAUAAGCGGCAGUCAAUGGAAAUACAGUGGAGUCCGCUUAUAAGAUGCUCAAGGGGCUGACGAUUUUACAUUUUUAUACCCGGAGUAUGCUUAAACCGGACGGA
This 1059-nucleotide unclassified non-coding RNA is filed under the name Drosophila mojavensis. RNAcentral's name for it is "GI25542". Lineage: Eukaryota; Metazoa; Arthropoda; Insecta; Diptera; Drosophilidae. The record is from RNAcentral.